UGAAACUCAAUUAAGCACUGGAAGAAAAAUCAUAUUGAAGACCCACACAACAGAAGGCAAAGGCAAGCCAAGCCCAAGGAAGCCCUACUGGUUGACCAAAGCUAGUCAAGCCCUUUUUGCCAAGACAUGCUCCUGCGCCCACUGCUCUGCUGGCUGCCUAAAGGAAAGCACAGGACACAGGUACAGCAUUAGAGAAGGGCAGAAGCUGCCCUUGACUAUGUAUGGAAAAUGCCAAAGACCUGCUCAUGCAAGGGAGAAGGCUAAAUUGUCUACUUGCAACGAGGGAAGCAUGGGUUUUAAGGCUUCUGCAAUAUGUAUUUCUUCUUGGCCAACAUUUAGAGAUGAACUUACUUAUUCACUGAGGAGUGUGGCUGCCUUUGAGAACAGAGUAGGAAAAGCAAGUGAGAGAGAGAAAAAAACAGUACUUGUGCAAUGGAAAGACUUGGCAAACAUUACCCUAUUCAAAGUUGACAUUAGCGGUGACAAGGAGGAUUGGUGGAC
This 501-nucleotide long non-coding RNA is filed under the name Heterocephalus glaber (naked mole-rat). RNAcentral describes it as "lncRNA (ENSHGLG00000040670.1)". The record is from RNAcentral. Lineage: Eukaryota; Metazoa; Chordata; Mammalia; Rodentia; Bathyergidae.